CCGUGCUAGAUGGGGAGGUAGCGGUGCCUUGUAACUCACAAUCCGCUAUAGUGGGGUCGAAUUCCUGUUGGAGGGCCUGCCCUGUGGGGUCCGCCUUAAAUAAGUGGCAAUGAUAAUUGGGUCUUACGCAACAAGAAGCUAUGAACCCCGUCAGGUCCGGAAGGAAGCAGCGGUAAGUAGCCAAUCUUGUGUGCCGUAAGGAAGCCUGGUUUGAGUUAACUGUUUAAGUUACGCCCGGAGGGUAGUUUCGAAGACAGGUGCACGG
This 265-nucleotide signal recognition particle RNA is filed under the name Bacillota bacterium. RNAcentral's name for it is "signal recognition particle sRNA large type". It matches the Rfam family "Bacterial large signal recognition particle RNA". Rfam says of the family: The signal recognition particle (SRP) is a universally conserved ribonucleoprotein involved in the co-translational targeting of proteins to membranes. Archaeal SRP consists of a 7S RNA and homologues of the eukaryotic SRP19 and SRP54 proteins. Lineage: Bacteria; Bacillati; Bacillota. RNAcentral also lists the same sequence under 1 other name. The record is from RNAcentral.